CGGGGGGUCCGGAGCCUAUCCCGGAAGCAAUGGGCACGAGGCAGAUCCCUCACGUCCCCUGACAUAUCUGCAUAUGUGUGCAGCUACGGCCGCAUAAAGACGACGUUUACGGCUGACUUGCUGUUGAGCAGCAACUCUGUGGGUCUGAGGGACUGCAUGAGGAGCUUCAGGAAAGGGAUGGAGUUCUGCAGCCUCUAAUCUCUCCAAGGAACACUGGAGGUAGCGGUUCCGGGCGGGACAGUCACAGUGAGCCCCGCAGAAGAGUGUACUGGCCUGAUGCUGCACCACCACCUCGGCCCAGUCGAAGUCCGG
Molecule: long non-coding RNA, 312 nt
Organism: Brienomyrus brachyistius
Lineage: Eukaryota; Metazoa; Chordata; Actinopteri; Osteoglossiformes; Mormyridae
Exons: 3
Source: RefSeq, a predicted model, not a curated record